AACGAACGCUGGCGGCAUGCCUAACACAUGCAAGUCGAACGAGACCUUCGGGUCUAGUGGCGCACGGGUGCGUAACGCGUGGGAACCUGCCUUUAGGUUCGGAAUAACUCAGAGAAAUUUGAGCUAAUACCGGAUGAUGUCUUCGGACCAAAGAUUUAUCGCCUUUAGAUGGGCCCGCGUUGGAUUAGCUAGUUGGUGGGGUAAAGGCCUACCAAGGCGACGAUCCAUAGCUGGUCUGAGAGGAUGAUCAGCCACACUGGGACUGAGACACGGCCCAGACUCCUACGGGAGGCAGCAGUGGGGAAUAUUGGGCAAUGGGCGAAAGCCUGAUCCAGCAAUGCCGCGUGAGUGAUGAAGGCCUUAGGGUUGUAAAGCUCUUUUACCCGAGAUGAUAAUGACAGUAUCGGGAGAAUAAGCUCCGGCUAACUCCGUG
This 433-nucleotide ribosomal RNA is filed under the name uncultured bacterium. Its description in RNAcentral is "partial 16S ribosomal RNA". It matches the Rfam family "Bacterial small subunit ribosomal RNA", at positions 29 to 507 of the family's 1533-position model. The record is from RNAcentral.